Molecule: small nuclear RNA, 107 nt
Organism: Myotis myotis
Lineage: Eukaryota; Metazoa; Chordata; Mammalia; Chiroptera; Vespertilionidae
Source: RefSeq, a predicted model, not a curated record
GUGCUCACUUCAGCAGCACAAAUACUAAGAUUGGAACAAUACAGAGAAGAUUAGCAUGGCCCCUGUGCAAGGAUGCCAUGUAAAUUCGUGAAGCAUCCCAUAUUUUU